This 254-nucleotide ribosomal RNA is filed under the name uncultured bacterium. Its description in RNAcentral is "partial 16S ribosomal RNA". It matches the Rfam family "Bacterial small subunit ribosomal RNA", at positions 524 to 776 of the family's 1533-position model. The record is from RNAcentral.
GACGAACCGUGCGAACGUUAUUCGGAAUCACUGGGCUUAAAGCGCGUGUAGGCGGGACGGCACGUCGGUCGCUGAAAGCCUCCGGCUCAACCGGGGAACGGGCGCCGAUACGACCGCCCUGGAGGAACGUAGGGGGACCUGGAACUUCCGGUGGAGCGGUGAAAUGCGUUGAGAUCGGAAGGAACGCCCGUGGCGAAAGCGAGGUCCUGGACGUUUUCUGACGCUGAGACGCGAAAGCCAGGGGAGCGAACGGG